UAGAGUUUGAUCAUGGCUCAGGACGAACGCUGGCGGCGUGCCUAAUACAUGCAAGUCGAACGCUUCUUUCCUCCCGAGUGCUUGCACUCAAUUGGAAAGAGGAGUGGCGAACGGGUGAGUAACACGUGGGUAACCUACCCAUCAGAGGGGGAUAACACUUGGAAACAGGUGCUAAUACCGCAUAACAGUUUAUGCCGCAUGGCAUAAGAGUGAAAGGCGCCUUCGGGUGUCGCUGAUGGAUGGACCCGCGGUGCAUUAGCUAGUUGGUGAGGUAACGGCUCACCAAGGCCACGAUGCAUAGCCGACCUGAGAGGGUGAUCGGCCACACUGGGACUGAGACACGGCCCAGACUCCUACGGGAGGCAGCAGUAGGGAAUCUUCGGCAAUGGACGAAAGUCUGACCGAGCAACGCCGCGUGAGUGAAGAAGGUUUUCGGAUCGUAAAACUCUGUUGUUAGAGAAGAACAAGGACGUUAGUAACUGAACGUCCCCUGACGGUAUCUAACCGGAAAGCCACGGCUAACUACGUGCCAGCAGCCGCGGUAAUACGUAGGUGGCAAGCGUUGUCCGGAUUUAUUGGGCGUAAAGCGAGCGCAGGCGGUUUCUUAAGUCUGAUGUGAAAGCCCCCGGCUCAACCGGGGAGGGUCAUUGGAAACUGGGAGACUUGAGUGCAGAAGAGGAGAGUGGAAUUCCAUGUGUAGCGGUGAAAUCCGUAGACUAUAUCGGAGGAACACCAGCUGGNGAACGCGGCUCUC
Molecule: ribosomal RNA, 754 nt
Filed under: uncultured bacterium
Lineage: Bacteria
Description: bacterial SSU rRNA
Rfam family: Bacterial small subunit ribosomal RNA
Source: RNAcentral